Molecule: ribosomal RNA, 486 nt
Filed under: uncultured bacterium
Lineage: Bacteria
Description: partial 16S ribosomal RNA
Rfam family: Bacterial small subunit ribosomal RNA
Source: RNAcentral
GACGAACGCUGGCGGCGUGCUUAACACAUGCAAGUCGAACGCUGAAGACCUGGCUUUUGUUGGGUUGGAUGAGUGGCGAACGGGUGAGUAACACGUGAGUAACCUGCCCUCUUCUUUGGGAUAACGCCCGGAAACGGGUGCUAAUACUGGAUAUUCACUGAUCUUCGCAUGGAGGUUGGUGGAAAGGUUUGUUCUGGUGGGGGAUGGGCUCGCGGCCUAUCAGCUUGUUGGUGGGGUGAUGGCCUACCAAGGCUUUGACGGGUAGCCGGCCUGAGAGGGUGACCGGUCACAUUGGGACUGAGAUACGGCCCAGACUCCUACGGGAGGCAGCAGUGGGGAAGAUUGCACAAUGGGCGAAAGCCUGAUGCAGCGACGCCGCGUGAGGGAUGGAGGCCUUCGGGUUGUAAACCUCUUUCGCGCAUGGUCAAGCCGCAACUGUGGGUUGUGGUGAGGGUAGUGGGUAAAGAAGCGCCGGCUAACUACGUG